GGGUGCGAUCAUACCAGCACUAAUGCACCGGAUCCCAUCAUAACUUCGCAGUUAAGCGUGCUUGGGCGAGAGUAGUACUAGGAUGGGUGACCUCCUGGAAGUCCUCGUGUUGCACCCC
Molecule: ribosomal RNA, 118 nt
Filed under: Corchorus olitorius
Lineage: Eukaryota; Viridiplantae; Streptophyta; Magnoliopsida; Malvales; Malvaceae
Source: RNAcentral